Molecule: ribosomal RNA, 425 nt
Filed under: uncultured bacterium
Lineage: Bacteria
Description: bacterial SSU rRNA
Rfam family: Bacterial small subunit ribosomal RNA
Source: RNAcentral
GUGGGGAAUAUUGGACAAUGGGCGCAAGCCUGAUCCAGCCAUGCCGCGUGAGUGAUGAAGGCCUUAGGGUUGUAAAGCUCUUUCAGUGGGGACGAUAAUGACGGUACCCACAGAAGAAGCCCCGGCUAACUUCGUGCCAGCAGCCGCGGUAAUACGAAGGGGGCUAGCGUUGUUCGGAUUUACUGGGCGUAAAGCGCACGUACGCGGAUCGUUAAGUCGGGGGUGAAAUCCUGGAGCUCAACUCCAGAGCUGCCUUCGAUACUGGCGAUCUUGAGUCCGGAAGAGGUGAGUGGAACUCCUAGUGUAGAGGUGGAAUUCGUAGAUAUUAGGAAGAACACCAGUGGCGAAGGCGGCUCACUGGUCCGGUACUGACGCUGAGGUGCGAAAGCGUGGGGAGCAAACAGGAUUAGAUACCCGGGUAGUCC